ACACCGGCAGCCCAAGUGGUGGCCAUUUUUAUUGGGCCUAAAGCGUUCGUAGCCGGCCUGAUAAGUCUCUGGUGAAAUCCCGCAGCUUAACUGUGGGAAUUGCUGGAGAUACUAUCAUGACUCGAGGUCGGGAGAGGCUGGAGGUACUCCCAGGGUAGGGGUGAAAUCCUGUAAUCCUGGGAGGACCACCUGUGGCGAAGGCGUCCAGCUGGAACGAACCUGACGGUGAGGGACGAAAGCCAGGGGCGCGAACCGGAUUAGAUACCCGGGUAGUCCUGGCCGUAAACGAUGUGGACUUGGUGUUGGGAUGGCUUCGAGCUGCCCCAGUGCCGAAGGGAAGCUGUUAAGUCCACCGCCUGGGAAGUACGGCCGCAAGGCUGAAACUUAAAUGAAUUGGCGGGG
Molecule: ribosomal RNA, 402 nt
Filed under: uncultured bacterium
Lineage: Bacteria
Description: partial 16S ribosomal RNA
Rfam family: Archaeal small subunit ribosomal RNA
Source: RNAcentral